UUGCAGCAUAAAACAAAAUUUAGGUUUUUUGGGCAACUAGGUUGGCCCUACUCUAUUUGCUAUAUCUAAUGUGAAAUCUUACAGAAGUGUUCUGAGAAACCUUACCAAGCAUUUUUUAUUGAAAGCAGAUAGGUUAUACAUACAAAUAAAAGGAAAUCUUGUAUAAUUAAACCAUCCUAAAUAAGUUACUUAAGCACUUAAUUUAUAAAUUUAGGGAAUUAGAUUCUAAUCUUUAUAUAAAUUUGAACUAGACAAUCUCCCUGAAACUCAGUUUCUCCUUUUAUAAAGUAUAGAAAAGUCUCCACUUCACUGGAAUAAAAUGGUCAAGUGAAAGUUAUAUACAAAUAUGAUGAAUGGUCUGAAAUAG
Molecule: long non-coding RNA, 367 nt
Filed under: Bos taurus (domestic cattle)
Lineage: Eukaryota; Metazoa; Chordata; Mammalia; Artiodactyla; Bovidae
Description: long non-coding RNA NONBTAT016003
Source: RNAcentral